GAAGUACUCCCUCCGUCCGAAAUAACUUGUCCUAAGCUUGUUCCUCAAAUGGAUGUAUCUAGCACUAACAUGGUGCUAGAUACAUUCAUUUGAGAGAUAAACUUUUUCGGAUAGAGGGAGUAAUAA
Non-coding RNA from Triticum urartu, 126 nucleotides. The record is from Rfam. NCBI's taxonomy places the organism in Eukaryota, Viridiplantae, Streptophyta, Magnoliopsida, Poales, Poaceae.